Molecule: non-coding RNA, 276 nt
Organism: Pelobates cultripes (western spadefoot toad)
Lineage: Eukaryota; Metazoa; Chordata; Amphibia; Anura; Pelobatidae
Source: the annotation of a GenBank genome assembly
GAGUGUGCUUGUAUGUAGUGUUGACGUUUCAAUGCAGGAGUGUGUUUUAUAUGUAGUGUUGAAGUUUGAAUGGAGGGGUGUAUUUGUAUUUAAAGUUGCGGCUCAGAUGCACAGGUACACACUCUGACGCACAAGCAGAUACAUACACUGACUACAUACAGAUAAACAGGCACAUACACUGACAGACACACUGACACAGGUACAUAUAUUGACACACACACAGACACAUACACUGGUAGACGUACUGACAGACAUACUGACACAGGCACAUAUACA